RNAcentral lists this long non-coding RNA (711 nucleotides) under Vulpes vulpes (red fox). RNAcentral's name for it is "lncRNA (ENSVVUG00000003378.1)". Lineage: Eukaryota; Metazoa; Chordata; Mammalia; Carnivora; Canidae. The record is from RNAcentral.
UGGAGGGAGAAGAAGAAGGAGGACGAGGAGGAGGAGGAGGAGGACGGGGAGGAGGAGGAGGAGGAGAGAGCGGAGUAUACCGCAGACAUCAUUUCUACUACAGUGGCGGAGCCGUCCAGGACCUGUUUCACUGCAGGGGGACCACAAAACAAGCCCCGCGGAGCAGCCGCCGGAGCUACAGCAGCCGCAAGACACUGUUUCUCUCCCUCUGCCCCCCCUUCCCCACGCAACCCCAGAUCCAUUUACACUUUACAGAGCAUCGUGCAGCAGCCAGUCCCCAGGGUGGUCCGUUCAAGCUGCGGAUUUGUUUGCCAUCACUCUAAGACAAUCUCCUCCUCCACGGCCACUCCAGGGAAGUGCAUCAGAAAUCAGCAUACUGGAGCAAAAUGAAAGAAUUUGUUCUGAGGCCUCAAAAGUAGUGCUGCUACGGACCAUGAGCAAGAAAGGGUGGACUUCAGCCUGCACGGAUGGUCUUGAAACACAAAUAGUUGUGGGUCUAGGCAUUUUACAUUGAGUUUCUCUACUGCCACCCCUUCUACUCAAGCAAAAUCUGUGUGGAGAGAUCCGCUGGGAAGGAACUGACUGCUUAUGUUUCUCCAUUGUGAUGAAAGCACAUGGUACAGGUAAAUAUCUCCAAAAUCUUUAACCAAAAAUAACUCUCACUUAGUGUAACAUUCCCAAGGUAGUGAUGGGGAUGUAUCUGUAUCUAUU